RNAcentral lists this unclassified non-coding RNA (160 nucleotides) under uncultured fungus. Its description in RNAcentral is "sequence contains ITS1, 5.8S rRNA gene". The record is from RNAcentral. Lineage: Eukaryota; Fungi.
CAGAGUAUCAUGCCCUUCGGGGUAGAUCUCCCACCCUGUGUAUUUAUACCUUUUGUUGCUUUGGCGGGCCGCCCUAGGCCACCGGCUCCGGCUGGUGAGCGCCCGCCAGAGGACCCCAAACUCUGAAUAUUAGUGUCGUCUGAGUACUAUAUAAUAGUUA